This 406-nucleotide ribosomal RNA is filed under the name uncultured bacterium. RNAcentral's name for it is "bacterial SSU rRNA". It matches the Rfam family "Bacterial small subunit ribosomal RNA", at positions 54 to 504 of the family's 1533-position model. The record is from RNAcentral.
CAUGCAAGUCGCACGGAUCUUUCGGGAUUAGUGGCGGACGGGUGAGUAACGCGUAGGAAUCUAUCCAUGGGUGGGGGAUAACACUGGGAAACUGGUGCUAAUACCGCAUGAUACCUGAGGGUCAAAGGCGCAAGUCGCCUGUGGAGGAGCCUGCGUUCGAUUAGCUAGUUGGUGGGGUAAAGGCCUACCAAGGCGAUGAUCGAUAGCUGGUUUGAGAGGAUGAUCAGCCACACUGGGACUGAGACACGGCCCAGACUCCUACGGGAGGCAGCAGUGGGGAAUAUUGGACAAUGGGGGCAACCCUGAUCCAGCAAUGCCGCGUGUGUGAAGAAGGUCUUCGGAUUGUAAAGCACUUUCGACGGGGACGAUGAUGACGGUACCCGUAGAAGAAGCUCCGGCUAACUUC